This 836-nucleotide long non-coding RNA is filed under the name Eucalyptus grandis. RNAcentral describes it as "long non-coding RNA (EGRA_LNC002583)". Lineage: Eukaryota; Viridiplantae; Streptophyta; Magnoliopsida; Myrtales; Myrtaceae. The record is from RNAcentral.
UCGUGUACAAAACCUGCCAUUCGACAUGACAGCAAAAUGUCAAUCUCCAAGUAGGACAUGCUCAGUUAAACUAACGCAGAACAGUGGGAGAACACGGCCCACAAAAGAACAUCACAUGCUCAGGCAUGUCGAAUAUGGCUGAAGAAUAGAAAUGGACCCGUCAAUGAUUUCAUUAUUUCAGUAACCUCAAGCUAAAAGGAGGCAGUGAAUACGCAGCAAUAUCGAGAACGUAACUGGCUACUUAAUAUGGAGAGCAUAACGACCAAAAGCGCAGAACAGAGCAAUCCAUAGUGACAGACAAAAACGGCAACGGAUCGAUUGGCACUGCAGUUUUGACAAAGACAAGUCAAUCAAACCGAAUCAACCGAAGGUAACUAAAUUUGCCGAUCGAGUUCAACAGGACAUGAACGGCAGAGGAGAUCAGUAGUGAAAGAGUGAGAGGGAACGCACCUUGGCCGUGGAGGAGUGGAGAGAGAGGAAGCCGUCGCGGUAGACCUUGCGCUUUCUGCUUGAGGUGCUUCGUGAAGGUAACUGUUCCAUUUCGUGGGAGCCUCAUCCAUGGCGGCGGUUUCUGCAUUGGGGGAGGAUGAAGAAGAAGAAGAUCUUCUAGGGAUUUCGAGAGCUGCAAGUAAUUGCUGCGAGAUACCGCUUCAACAAGAAAGCAUCGUAUUCGGGAAUGCUGGUCAAGCAAAUUCACGAUUCGUCCUUCAAACAAGAAAGCAUCAUCAUAGCCCUUUUCGAGAAAUUUAAUCACAUUCAGUUGGGGUUGAUUCUCUUGCGUCUGUUACUAUAGCGACAAAGCAUUUCUUCUGCCUGCGGCGAGAAUAUAUGCCUGU